RNAcentral lists this ribosomal RNA (437 nucleotides) under Stagonomus grenieri. RNAcentral's name for it is "partial 16S ribosomal RNA". It matches the Rfam family "Bacterial large subunit ribosomal RNA", at positions 1922 to 2567 of the family's 2925-position model. Lineage: Eukaryota; Metazoa; Arthropoda; Insecta; Hemiptera; Pentatomidae. The record is from RNAcentral.
UUUAAAUAGCCGCAGUAUUUUGACUGUGCGAAGGUAGCAUAAUCAUUUGUCUUUUAAUUGAAGGCUUGUAUGAAUGGUCUGAUGAGGGAAUGACUUUCUUUAUACUAAAUAUUGAAUUUAAUUUUUCAGUCAAAAAGCUGAGAUUUUUUAAAGGGACGAGAAGACCCUAUAGAAUUUUACCUUUAUUUUAAUUAAAAAAUAUUUGGUAAAUAUAUACUUUUAAUUAAUUAUAAGGUUUUGUUGGGGUGACAUUAGGAUGACUUUAACUCCUAUACUUUAUAUAUUGUUUAUUUACAUUUAAGAGAUCCUUUAUUUUGGAUAAAUAGAUUAAAUUACCUUAGGGAUAACAGCGUUAUUUUUCUGGAGAGUUCAUAUCGAUAGAGGAGUUUGCGACCUCGAUGUUGGAUUAAAAUUAGAUUUAAGUGCAGAAGCUUAAU